This 75-nucleotide transfer RNA is filed under the name Saccharimonas sp. (SeqCode). RNAcentral's name for it is "tRNA-Gly". It matches the Rfam family "tRNA". Rfam says of the family: Transfer RNA (tRNA) molecules are approximately 80 nucleotides in length. Their secondary structure includes four short double-helical elements and three loops (D, anti-codon, and T loops). RNAcentral also lists the same sequence under 3 other names. The record is from RNAcentral. Lineage: Bacteria; Candidatus Saccharimonadota; Candidatus Saccharimonadia; Saccharimonadales (SeqCode); Saccharimonadaceae (SeqCode).
GCGGGUGUAGUACAACGGUUAGUAUACAAGUUUUCCAAACUUGGGACGGGAGUUCGAUUCUCCCCACCCGCACCA